UGACCCUACGGGGGGCAGCAGUGAGGAAUAUUGGUCAAUGGGCGGGAGCCUGAACCAGCCAAGUCGCGUGAGGGAAGACGGUCCUAUGGAUUGUAAACCUCUUUUGUCGGGGAGCAAAGAGACCACGUGUGGUCAAAAGCGAGAGUACCCGAAGAAAAAGCAUCGGCUAACUCCGUGCCAGCAGCCGCGGUAAUACGUAGGUGGCGAGCGUUAUCCGGAAUGAUUGGGCGUAAAGGGUGCGUAGGCGGCCUGCUAAGUCUGGAGUGAAAGGUACCGGCUCAACCGGUACAGGCUCUGGAAACUGG
Molecule: ribosomal RNA, 305 nt
Filed under: uncultured bacterium
Lineage: Bacteria
Description: bacterial SSU rRNA
Rfam family: Bacterial small subunit ribosomal RNA
Source: RNAcentral